CAUUUUUUCGAUACGUUGUGUUCUAAAUUUAAAAGUUAAUUAUAGGUUACUUUUAUAAACUAUUUCCAAUUUUUUUAAACUUCCGCCCAAAAAUUAUCAUGAGCGUAUUUGCUACAUAUCAGAAUUGAAAUGCGUCUUGAAACAUAGAAGAGAAAUAGUGACUUUACAGAUUUCUAAGGAAACAUUACAGAAGUUUAAUUACGACAAAGAUCUGCCCAGAAUAUCUCGUGACUCUGCCUGCCUUAGCACUUGUGACCUGGACUUGUAUUAUAAGGAUAAGGAAGACUUUGAACCUAAAAAAGGUUUAAACAUACUGGAAAUAAAAAUCACAUCUUUCCCAAAAGUAAGAGUCCUAAGAGAUAUCAUUUUCGAUAUUUAUGACAUCGUGUUAAGAAGCGGUGGCGUUAUAAACUUGUGCAUUGGCAGCUCAAUUAUUUCUAUAAUGGAAAUAAUUAUAGCAAUACUAAAAUAUUGCGUGUACUUUUUAAUAAAGAUACUUCAAUCAAUGGAAAAUCGUGUGCUAACAAUGUUUUACAAAAUGAAAAAAUAAUGUUUUCAAAAAAAUAUCAUUUAUUUAACGUAAAUUGUUAACAUGUUAAAUGUAAACAAAUAUAUGUAUCAAUGUUUUUUCUACAUCUUCAAUCGUAGUACGUGAAAAAACAAUAAAAUUACAGACGUCAUUAUCUGAAAAAAAAAAUUGUGAUUUAGUUGUUGUAUAUUUUAUUCUACUAUGCUUUUUAAAUAUUUACUUUAAAAAAACAAGUUGUUAAAAACUACUUCAAUCGUAACACAGCUUAUACAUUUAACACAUAACAGGUUUGAGUUGGUAAAGGUAACUAAUGUUUUUAUAUAUUCAUUAAUAUGAACUAGUGGUCGUCCAGUGGUCAAAAUUCCACCAUAAUUAAUUUAAAUUAUAAGUUUAAACACAUAUAUUAGGUCCUUACAUAUAAAAAUCGGCGUUUUGCAUGUUCGGAACAUAAAGUCGUUGUUUAGGCUGUGACUAAUAUGAAGAUUUUUAUUAUAAAUAUUUUAAGUUAAAAGUUUGAUUGUACAAACUUGCUACACAGGAAAUUGAUUUUUUUAACUUGGAACACCGUUCAUCCUAGGCGUCAGUUACGUGCAAAAGAAAUCACAAAAUGGAAGUCGAAAUAGUCUAACCAAAUCAAUUAUAAUUACUCAUGUAAGUAAAA
RNAcentral lists this unclassified non-coding RNA (1190 nucleotides) under Melitaea cinxia (Glanville fritillary). Its description in RNAcentral is "misc RNA ENSMCXG00005018488.1". The record is from RNAcentral. Lineage: Eukaryota; Metazoa; Arthropoda; Insecta; Lepidoptera; Nymphalidae.